Molecule: long non-coding RNA, 886 nt
Filed under: Pogona vitticeps (central bearded dragon)
Lineage: Eukaryota; Metazoa; Chordata; Lepidosauria; Squamata; Agamidae
Description: lncRNA (ENSPVIG00000014851.1)
Source: RNAcentral
CAAAUAUGACAUCCAUGGGUUGAUUGAUAUGAUUUAUAUUGUUCCUUACUCUCAGAACUAGAACUGAGAAUGAUUUACAACAAAAUAAAAAACCAGUGGAUACAAACAGAUUCUUCUACCACAACACUGCCCGGUGCGACCACAGAAGAGACUCCUGGCACCAUUGAACCCGUGGUGCUGACAACCGAGUCUCCUGACAUGACAGGGAAGCCUGGGUGGUGUCCUGUGCGAAAGUUGCCUCAUCCCCAUCAUGGCCGACCUCAUAAACAAAAGAAACAGAAGAAGUUCCGUUUCUCUUCAAAAGAGGACACAGGCAACCAAAAGAGGACAAAGGCAACCAAGAAGUGGACACAAUACGUUUUCGAAAAUAUGUGAGAAACCAGGCUGCAACACUGAUGAUGACUGCCUUGGAAAUUGGAAGUGUUGUCAAAUUGCCCGGUGUGGGAUGAAGUGUGUGAAACCAGUGUUUUCCCAGCACUCACAUGAAGACCAGAGUAUUUCUUCGGAAGAGCGAUUGUCUUAGUUCCUGAUGACAAAGGGCCAAGUUUUGGUAAGUAGGAGACUAGGCUGCUAUUCAAGUUCCAAGAAGCUCAUUUGUUGGAGCCACUGCUGAGCCAGCAGUGCGGUUCAUUUUUGCCUACCUCCCCGGAUGUCACAAUUGUCUUAGUUCCUGAUGACAAAGGGCCAAGUUUUGGUAAGUAGGAGACUAGGCUGCUAUUCAAGUUCCAAGAAGCUCAUUUGUUGGAGCCACUGCUGAGCCAGCAGUGCGGUUCAUUUUUGCCUACCUCCCCGGAUGUCACAAGACUUCUAAGUUCCUUGAGGACAACUCGGGAGUAGAGGGGGGAACGAUAGGCUAGGGCCGUUCCGUUCUUCUCUCACUCCUCCC